CUGGUCUUAGCCAAGUGGUCACCAUAGCAGAAUCAAAAUCUGUUUAUCCUGGACUGCGUAGGUUCGAAACCUGCCGAUUAGA
This is a non-coding RNA of Suillus cothurnatus, 82 nucleotides long. NCBI's taxonomy places the organism in Eukaryota, Fungi, Basidiomycota, Agaricomycetes, Boletales, Suillaceae. The record is from the annotation of a GenBank genome assembly.